Molecule: ribosomal RNA, 226 nt
Filed under: uncultured bacterium
Lineage: Bacteria
Description: partial 16S ribosomal RNA
Rfam family: Bacterial small subunit ribosomal RNA
Source: RNAcentral
CGGAACACGUACAGAACCUUCCUUUAAGCGGGGGAUAGCCCAUAGAAAUGUGGAUUAAUACCCCAUAGUAAUGCUGGUUGGCAUCAACUGGUAUUUAAAGAUUUAUCACUUAAAGAUGGCUGUGCGGCUGAUUAGGUAGUUGGUGAGGGUAACGGCCCACCAAGCCAGCGAUCAGUAACUGGUGUGAGAGCACGACCAGUCACACGGGCACUGAGACACGGGCCCG